This 274-nucleotide ribosomal RNA is filed under the name uncultured bacterium. RNAcentral describes it as "partial 16S ribosomal RNA". It matches the Rfam family "Bacterial small subunit ribosomal RNA", at positions 523 to 796 of the family's 1533-position model. The record is from RNAcentral.
AUACGGAGGGUGCAAGCGUUACUCGGAAUCACUGGGCGUAAAGCGCGCGCAGGCGGCUAUUUAAGUUGGAUGUGAAAGCCUACUGCUCAACCGUAGAACUGCAUCCAAAACUAUUUAGCUAGAGUGUGGGAGAGGAAGAUGGAAUUAGUUGUGUAGGGGUAAAAUCCGUAGAGAUAACUAGGAAUACCAAAAGCGAAGGCAAUCUUCUGGAACACUACUGACGCUGAGGCGCGAAAGCGUGGGGAGCAAACAGGAUUAGAUACCCUAGUAGUCC